GACGAACGCUGGCGGCGUGCUUAACACAUGCAAGUCGAACGGUGAAGGUGGAGAGCUUGCUCUCUACUGGAACAGUGGCGAACGGGGGAGUAACACGUGGGUAACCUGCCCCAAACUUUGGGAUAACUGUCCGAAAGGAGAGCUAAUACCUGAGACGAUUUCGAGUGGCAUCGCUUGAAUUGGAAAGCUCCCGCGGUCUGGGAGGGACCGGCGGCCUGUCAGCGAGUUGGAGGGGUAACGGCCCACCAAGUCGACGACGGGUAGCCGGCCAGAGAGGGCGACCGGCCACACUGGGACUGAGACACGGCCCAGACUCCUACGGGAGGCAGCAGUGGGGAAUAUUGGUCAAUGGUCGCAAGCCUGAACCAGCAACGCCGCGUGAGGGAUGGCGGCCUUCGGGUUGUAAACCUCUUUCAGCAGGGACGAAGCGAAAGUGACGGUACCUGCAGAAGAAGCACCGGCUAACUACGUGCCAGCAGCCGCGGUAA
This 488-nucleotide ribosomal RNA is filed under the name uncultured bacterium. RNAcentral describes it as "partial 16S ribosomal RNA". It matches the Rfam family "Bacterial small subunit ribosomal RNA", at positions 28 to 523 of the family's 1533-position model. The record is from RNAcentral.